Molecule: ribosomal RNA, 506 nt
Filed under: Escherichia coli
Lineage: Bacteria; Pseudomonadati; Pseudomonadota; Gammaproteobacteria; Enterobacterales; Enterobacteriaceae
Description: bacterial SSU rRNA
Rfam family: Bacterial small subunit ribosomal RNA
Source: RNAcentral
UUAAAUUGAAGAGUUUGAUCAUGGCUCAGAUUGAACGCUGGCGGCAGGCCUAACACAUGCAAGUCGAACGGUAACAGAAAGCAGCUUGCUGCUUUGCUGACGAGUGGCGGACGGGUGAGUAAUGUCUGGGAAACUGCCUGAUGGAGGGGGAUAACUACUGGAAACGGUAGCUAAUACCGCAUAACGUCGCAAGACCAAAGAGGGGGACCUUCGGGCCUCUUGCCAUCGGAUGUGCCCAGAUGGGAUUAGCUAGUAGGUGGGGUAACGGCUCACCUAGGCGACGAUCCCUAGCUGGUCUGAGAGGAUGACCAGCCACACUGGAACUGAGACACGGUCCAGACUCCUACGGGAGGCAGCAGUGGGGAAUAUUGCACAAUGGGCGCAAGCCUGAUGCAGCCAUGCCGCGUGUAUGAAGAAGGCCUUCGGGUUGUAAAGUACUUUCAGCGGGGAGGAAGGGAGUAAAGUUAAUACCUUUGCUCAUUGACGUUACCCGCAGAAGAAGCACC